AGGACGAACGCUGGCGGCGUGCUUAACACAUGCAAGUCGAGCGGAAAGGCCCUUCGGGGUACUCGAGCGGCGAACGGGUGAGUAACACGUGAGUAAUCUGCCCCUAGCUCUGGGAUAGCUCCGGGAAACCGGGAUUAAUACUGGAUACGACCACCUUAGACAUCUUUUGUGGUGGAAAGAAUUUCGGCUAGGGAUGAGCUCGCGGCCUAUCAGCUUGUUGGUGGGGUAACGGCCUACCAAGGCGACGACGGGUAGCCGGCCUGAGAGGGCGACCGGCCACACUGGGACUGAGACACGGCCCAGACUCCUACGGGAGGCAGCAGUGGGGAAUAUUGCGCAAUGGGCGAAAGCCUGACGCAGCGACGCCGCGUGGGGAUGAAGGCCUUCGGGUUGUAAACCCUUUCAGCAGGGACGAAGCGAAAGUGACGGUACCUGCAGAAGAAGCGCCGGCUAACUACGCGCCAGCAGCCGC
This 472-nucleotide ribosomal RNA is filed under the name uncultured bacterium. Its description in RNAcentral is "SSU rRNA". It matches the Rfam family "Bacterial small subunit ribosomal RNA", at positions 26 to 518 of the family's 1533-position model. The record is from RNAcentral.